This is a non-coding RNA of Cinara cedri, 629 nucleotides long. Lineage: Eukaryota; Metazoa; Arthropoda; Insecta; Hemiptera; Aphididae. The record is from the annotation of a GenBank genome assembly.
GACAGAAUUUACAGCCGAACGAUCACAAAUAUUUCGUAAGCGAUGACGGUUGUCGAGAGUGAGCGGCCAAACAGUGAUAACGCGGUAACUGCGGUCGAGCACUGUCGCGGCAUAGUGCGACAGUACAACAACGCUGUCGAACGGCCUACGCGCCAAUAGUUGCGCGACGGACACUGUCGGGUGUCACUGUCACCGCUUGCGUGGGCGCCCGGACAGACGGGGAUCCACCCUCCCCCCAACCGCCCUUGGUCUCCAAAAUGUCAAAUAUAAUUUUAUUUUAAGUAUUUUUCGGCGUUUCCGUUUUAUUACGCCCCUCUCUGAUACACUUCCCGCGAGCGCCCGUUGCCGCGUGUGCAAACGCGCUCCUAUCAUAAUCUCUUACGGAUAUUUAGCGCCCGUAAAACUGUACAUUCUGUUUGCUCGUUGGACUUGGCCAAUCGUUAUUUACGCACGUACUAUAAGUACGACAUUACGAUUUUCGCGACGUGGUGACUCUAUGCGAGCCCCGGCGCAACGCCGAACGGACCAUAAAUACGGAUAAGAACGGAUAAUUUAUUUACUUUCGCGAGAGUAGGAAUCCGAUAUUUGUGUAACGAUUAAUAACAACGGACGUCAAUAGAUACUACACG